This 381-nucleotide ribosomal RNA is filed under the name Triticum aestivum (bread wheat). RNAcentral's name for it is "partial small subunit ribosomal RNA". The record is from RNAcentral. Lineage: Eukaryota; Viridiplantae; Streptophyta; Magnoliopsida; Poales; Poaceae.
GAGUCCACUGCUCAUCUCCUAUUCCAGUGUAGAUUCACCGUAUGCGUUUGGAAUGAGGUCGUCGCUUGGUUACGCAUGCACGGUCACUCACCGAUGACUUGGUGACAUGAGGUCUCUGUUCAUGAUUGGUGGCUAAAAAUGAUCGACUCGGGCGGCUACAUCAAGAAGGCGCUUGUCUCCGUGAUGAUGAUUGUCUCGUGGGAAAUUUGGAAGGAGCGAAACACUAAAGUUUUCCGCAAUACGGCUAUCCCGACUUUCGUUGUUGUUGCCAAGAUUAAAGAGGAAGCCCAUCUUUGGGCGCUGGCUGGAGCCAGACACCUGAGUCCUCUAAUGUUGCGAGAGUGGUCUUUUUCUUUUUGCCGCUCUACGGCUUAUGUCUAG